Molecule: ribosomal RNA, 253 nt
Filed under: uncultured bacterium
Lineage: Bacteria
Description: partial 16S ribosomal RNA
Rfam family: Bacterial small subunit ribosomal RNA
Source: RNAcentral
UACAGAGGGUGCAAGCGUUGUCCGGAAUCACUGGGCGUAAAGGGCGCGUAGGCGGCCCGAUAAGUAGGGGGUGAAAUCUUGCGGCUCAACCGCAAGGCUGCCUUCUAGACUGUCGGGCUUGAGCACAGUAGAGGCAGGUGGAAUUCCCGGUGUAGCGGUGGAAUGCGUAGAGAUCGGGAAGAACAUCGGUGGCGAAGGCGGCCUGCUGGACCAUAACUGACACUCAGGGACGAAAGCUAGGGGAGCGAAUGGG